GGCUUCGUAGCUCAGCCGGUAGAGCACUCGCAGUACCGGUGCGAGGGUGACAGCCCUAUAUGGGGUCGAAUCCCGCCGGGGUUA
This 84-nucleotide transfer RNA is filed under the name Fasciola gigantica. RNAcentral's name for it is "tRNA-Gly". The record is from RNAcentral. Lineage: Eukaryota; Metazoa; Platyhelminthes; Trematoda; Plagiorchiida; Fasciolidae.